Long non-coding RNA from Olea europaea var. sylvestris, 743 nucleotides. RefSeq lists it as uncharacterized. NCBI's taxonomy places the organism in Eukaryota, Viridiplantae, Streptophyta, Magnoliopsida, Lamiales, Oleaceae. The transcript has 2 exons. The record is from RefSeq and is a predicted model, not a curated record.
AAAUUCUAGCUCUCUACCUCUUAGAACUUUACUUGGAUUAAUAAUUUUGUGACAAAUUAUUGAGGAAGAAUCCGAGAAAUGAGACAGUAACACAACAUUCACUGUUGCUACAUUUUUAUUCCAUAUGAGGUUACUAGGAAACUACCUUCUAUUUGAUUGGUUUCUUUUCUACGGUGGGAUGGAUCAAAAAGGGAAACUUCCAUUUCUUUUCCUUAUCCUCUCCUAUAAAACGAGGCCUAAUCUUCGACUCAUUUAUACUUAAAUCAGUGUCUACAAUACAGCAAAACUAAGUAAAAAUAUUUCUUUAUGACACCAUGAUGGUUCCCAAGAAGGCAAUUGUCUACCUUCUCCUGUCUUUGUUCAUAAUAUACGAUGUUUCCUCCAUGGUGACUGCUAUCGUCUCCAACGACAUGACUCCAGCAACAGUACAGAAAAACAAAGUGCAUACGAUUUCCCAUUUUGUACCGCGUGUUCACCAUAGUCCAAUUCCAGGUGCUCCUGUUCCAAAACCACCUGAAAUUCGCCGUUCUUGCUGUUGGAGAAGAUGUCUCCUGUUGCUGCUCUGCUGCAGAGGAUGCUAAGAAAAUCGGAUCUCAUGAUUGACCCUAUAAUUAGUGAGUUCCACUCACUUUAUUAUCACUUUGCUGUGCUAGAUUUGAUAGAAUUGACGGAAGAGAGAGUGAGAGAGAGUUCACCUCUAAGUAAGAAAAAGAAAAAAUAUCAUAUUCAAAAAUAUUUAUAAA